CACGUACUCCCUCCGUCCGUAAAUAUUUGUCGCACAAAAGGAUAAAAUGGAUGUAUCUAGAACUAAAAUAUGUCUAGAUACAUUCGUUUCGCUGACAAGUAUUUCUGGACAGAGGAAGUAGCUA
This is a non-coding RNA of Triticum aestivum (bread wheat), 124 nucleotides long. NCBI's taxonomy places the organism in Eukaryota, Viridiplantae, Streptophyta, Magnoliopsida, Poales, Poaceae. The record is from Rfam.